This 117-nucleotide non-coding RNA is filed under the name Pan paniscus (pygmy chimpanzee). The record is from Rfam by way of RNAcentral. RNAcentral also lists the same sequence under 1 other name. Lineage: Eukaryota; Metazoa; Chordata; Mammalia; Primates; Hominidae.
GCCGGGUGUGGUGGCUCACGCCUGUAAUCCCAACAUUUUGGGAGGCCGAGGUGGGUGGAUCACCUGAGGUCAGGAGUUUGAGACCAGCCUGGCCAAUAUGGCGAAACCCCAUCUCUA